GAUCCUGGCUCAGGACGAACGCUGGCGGCGCGCCUAACACAUGCAAGUCGAACGGAGUCAAGAGGAGCUUGCUUUUCCUGACUUAGUGGCGAACGGGUGAGUAACGCGUGAGUAACCUGCCCUGGAGUGGGGGACAACAGUUGGAAACGACUGCUAAUACCGCAUAAGCCCACGGCCCGGCAUCGGGCUGCGGGAAAAGGAUUUAUUCGCUUCAGGAUGGACUCGCGUCCAAUUAGCUAGUUGGUGAGGUAACGG
Molecule: ribosomal RNA, 255 nt
Filed under: uncultured bacterium
Lineage: Bacteria
Description: partial 16S ribosomal RNA
Rfam family: Bacterial small subunit ribosomal RNA
Source: RNAcentral